RNAcentral lists this ribosomal RNA (273 nucleotides) under uncultured Dietzia sp. Its description in RNAcentral is "partial 16S ribosomal RNA". It matches the Rfam family "Bacterial small subunit ribosomal RNA", at positions 524 to 796 of the family's 1533-position model. The record is from RNAcentral. Lineage: Bacteria; Bacillati; Actinomycetota; Actinomycetes; Mycobacteriales; Dietziaceae.
UACGUAGGGUGCGAGCGUUGUCCGGAAUUACUGGGCGUAAAGAGCUCGUAGGCGGUUUGUCGCGUCGUCCGUGAAAACUCGGAGCUUAACUCCGAGCUUGCGGGCGAUACGGGCAGACUUGAGUACUACAGGGGAGACUGGAAUUCCUGGUGUAGCGGUGAAAUGCGCAGAUAUCAGGAGGAACACCGGUGGCGAAGGCGGGUCUCUGGGUAGUAACUGACGCUGAGGAGCGAAAGCAUGGGUAGCGAACAGGAUUAGAAACCCCGGUAGUCC